ACGCGGGAUCGCGUCCGCGGGCUCAACAGGCCCAGAUGGUGGGGGUGGUGCCGUGUCGGCGCAGCACCACCCCUGCCUG
Molecule: non-coding RNA, 79 nt
Filed under: Streptomyces yokosukanensis
Lineage: Bacteria; Bacillati; Actinomycetota; Actinomycetes; Kitasatosporales; Streptomycetaceae
Description: Streptomyces RNA 6106
Rfam family: Streptomyces RNA 6106
About the family: Identified by deep sequencing of transcriptome at the end of exponential growth phase.
Source: Rfam by way of RNAcentral